UACGGAGGAUGCAAGUGUUAUCCGGAAUCCCUGGGCGUAAAGCGUCUGUAGGUGGUUUAAUAAGUCAACUGUUAAAUCUUGAGGCUCAACCUCAAAAUCGCAGUCGAAACUAUUAGGCUAGAGUAUAGUAGGGGUAAAGGGAAUUUCCAGUGGAGCGGUGAAAUGCGUAGAGAUUGGAAAGAAUACCGAUGGCGAAGGCGGCAUCCUGGACCAACAUUGACGCUGAUGAGCGAAAGCUAGGGGAGCAAACGGG
This 253-nucleotide ribosomal RNA is filed under the name uncultured bacterium. RNAcentral describes it as "partial 16S ribosomal RNA". It matches the Rfam family "Bacterial small subunit ribosomal RNA", at positions 524 to 776 of the family's 1533-position model. The record is from RNAcentral.